Molecule: ribosomal RNA, 467 nt
Filed under: uncultured bacterium
Lineage: Bacteria
Description: partial 16S ribosomal RNA
Rfam family: Bacterial small subunit ribosomal RNA
Source: RNAcentral
GACGAACGCUGGCGGCGUGCUUAACACAUGCAAGUCGAACGGAAAGGCCUCUUUCGGGGGGUACUCGAGUGGCGAACGGGUGAGUAACACGUGAGUAACCUGCCCUUGACUUUGGGAUAACUUCAGGAAACUGGGGCUAAUACCGGAUAGGAGCUCCUGCUGCAUGGUGGGGGUUGGAAAGUUUCGGCGGUUGGGGAUGGACUCGCGGCUUAUCAGCUUGUUGGUGGGGUAGUGGCUUACCAAGGCUUUGACGGGUAGCCGGCCUGAGAGGGUGACCGGCCACAUUGGGACUGAGAGACGGCCCAGACGCCGACGGGAGGCAGCAGUGGGGAAUAUUGCACAAGGGGUGGAAGCCGGAUGCAGAAACGCCGGGGGCGGGAUGACGGCCUUCGGGUUGUAAACCGCUUUCGCUCAUGACGAAGCUUUGUGUGACGGUAGUGGGUAAAGAAGCACCGGCUAACUACGUG